AAUCAACGCUGGCGGCGUGCCUCAGACAUGCAAGUCGAACGCGAAAGUUUCCUUCGGGAAGCGAGUAGAGUGGCGCACGGGUGAGUAACACGUAAGUAAUCUACCUCGGGGUGGGGAAUAACAUCGGGAAACCGAUGCUAAUACCGCAUAAUGCAGCGGCUUCUUAUGAAGACAGUUGUUAAAGCAUUUAUGUGCCUGGAGAGGAGCUUGCGGCAGAUUAGCAGUUGGUAAGGUAAUGGCUUACCAAGGCAACGAUCUGUAGCCGACCUGAGAGGGUGGUCGGUCACACUGACACUGAAUAACGGGUCAGACUCCUACGGGGAGGCAGCAGUCGGGAAUUUUGGGCAAUGGGCGCAAGCCUGACCCA
RNAcentral lists this ribosomal RNA (367 nucleotides) under uncultured bacterium. RNAcentral's name for it is "bacterial SSU rRNA". It matches the Rfam family "Bacterial small subunit ribosomal RNA", at positions 32 to 390 of the family's 1533-position model. The record is from RNAcentral.